AUUGAACGCUGGCGGCAUGCUUUACACAUGCAAGUCGGACGGCAGCACAGAGAAGCUUGCUUCUUGGGUGGCGAGUGGCGAACGGGUGAGUCACAUAUCGGAACGUACCGAGCAGUGGGGGAUAACUAAUCGAAAGAUUAGCUACUACCGCAUAUCUUCUGAGGAAGAAAGCAGGGGACCAUUUGGCCUUGCGCUGUUUGAGCGGCCGAUAUCUGAUUAGCUAGUUGGUGGGGUAAAGGCCUACCAAGGCGACGAUCAGUAGCGGGUCUGAGAGGAUGAUCGGCCACACUGGAACUGAGACACGGCCCAGACUCCUACGGGAGGCAGCAGUGGGGAAUUUUGGACAAUGGGCGCAAGCCUGAUCCAGCCAUGCCGCGUGUCUGAAGAAGGCCUUCGGGUUGUAAAGGACUUUUGUCAGGGAAGAAAAGGGCGGGGUUAAUACCCCUGUCUGAUGACGGUACCUGAAGAAUAAGCACCGGCUAACUACGUG
This 490-nucleotide ribosomal RNA is filed under the name uncultured bacterium. RNAcentral's name for it is "partial 16S ribosomal RNA". It matches the Rfam family "Bacterial small subunit ribosomal RNA", at positions 30 to 507 of the family's 1533-position model. The record is from RNAcentral.